AGAUGGCGACCGGCGCACGGGUGAGUAACACGUAUCCAACCUGCCGAUAACUCGGGGAUAGCCUUUCGAAAGAAAGAUUAAUACCCGAUGGUAUAAUCAGACCGCAUGGUUUGAUUAUUAAAGAAUUUCGGUUAUCGAUGGGGAUGCGUUCCAUUAGGUUGUUGGUGAGGUAACGGCUCACCAAGCCUUCGAUGGAUAGGGGUUCUGAGAGGAAGGUCCCCCACAUUGGAACUGAGACACGGUCCAA
RNAcentral lists this ribosomal RNA (247 nucleotides) under uncultured bacterium. RNAcentral's name for it is "partial 16S ribosomal RNA". It matches the Rfam family "Bacterial small subunit ribosomal RNA", at positions 86 to 334 of the family's 1533-position model. The record is from RNAcentral.